Phyllostomus discolor (pale spear-nosed bat) is the source of this 3490-nucleotide long non-coding RNA. RefSeq lists it as uncharacterized. The record is from RefSeq and is a predicted model, not a curated record. NCBI's taxonomy places the organism in Eukaryota, Metazoa, Chordata, Mammalia, Chiroptera, Phyllostomidae. The transcript has 3 exons.
CCCCAGUUGGGGCACAUAACUCAGAAAGUUGCGGGUUUGGUCCCUGGUCUGAGUGCGUGUGACCCCAGCCUAGGUGUGAGUGGCAGGCAGUUGAUCGAUGCCUCUCUUUCACAUUGAUGUUUCUCUCUUCUCUAAAAGCAAUGAAAAAAAAAUGUCCUUGGGCAAAGAUAAACAUAAUUUUUUUAAAAGUUCCAGAUAAUUUUUUCCAGAUGACUACACUGUAAAACAUUUUGAUUUUUUUCCUACUGAGUAUAAUGGUAAAUUCAGCUUGUCAGUAAUUUCUCUUGCAGUCAUAUACCUUCAGGUCAUGCCUACCCCCAGGUAAAUGGUCUGGAUGUUGGUGCUUUUCCAGAUUUUUGUAUCUGCUUUUUAACUUAAUAGCCACUCCUCUCUGUUGGGGUGAAGCUAUAUGAGCUACACUGUUGGUUCUCGUGUUAAAUUGUGAGGUGCUUCCUGUGUCUAGGGGAGUUGGGGUGGCUUGGUGAGGGCCACUAGGGAAGGGGGCAGUUGCUGUGACAUGUUCCAGAAACUCCAGUUCAGGGCAGAAAUUAUUACAAAAGUGAAUAUCCUGAGCCUCAGAAUUGAUAAAAGGAGUGUUUUACACGUCAUCUGAUGAAGUUUUUUACCCCACCGCAGCAGCCCGUUGUAGCCCACGGACGAGGGGAGCAUGUGGAGAGUACGGUAUUCCUCAGGGUGGGGCCGGGGAGGGGCCUAGAGGAGCUCCAGCUGCCUCACAGCCCGCCUGAUCUCCCCGAGGCUGGUUCCCAACUUAGUCCAUGUAGCAACUGAGGUUUCCCAUAGGGAACUUUCUUCCAGAUGAGCAUAUCCGAUUGUGAAGCAGAAAUUGGGAAUAUCUAAAUUCUCAUCUAUGUUCAAUCCAUUCUUCAUACUGCUGACAGUAAUUAUUUCAGGCGAAAUGACCCAGCCUCUGCCACCUUGGCUCGUCUCCAGCUACAGCUGCCCUGCCCAGUCACUGCCCUCCGCCCCAGGACCUCUGUGCUCAGCCCCUGGCCUGCACCUGAGCAGAGUGCCCCACCCGGAGCACUGCCCCCUGCCCUGAUUCACUCACUCAGCAACUCCUUCUGAGGACUCAAGGUUGGGGUCAAAAGUCACUUCUGGGAAGACAGCUCGUGCGUGCAGGACCCUCUUAAAUGUUCUUAGGCUUCGACAUCCCGGUUUCAAUGGUGAUGACUCGGUGCUUCUUGCGCCUUUCGAAUGCCAGCUCCCCGAGGCAGGGAUCUGCCCUGGUCCUCGGUGUUCCCAGGGCCUGGCACAGGAGCUGACACCUGGUAGAUAGCUGAUAAACAGUUCUUCAAGAACUGAGAGAGUGAAGGGACACACGGAUAUUCAGGAUUCCAGCAUUCUGGAAUAUCCCGUCUGACCUUCAUUCCUUGACGGGCCAUGGAGGUUAAGGAAAGAAUUUUUACGCUGCUCGAGCUGCCAUAAUGAAAUACCAUAGACUGGGUGGCUUAAAAAAGACAUUUCUCACAGUGCUGGGUGCUGGGAAGUCCAAGAUCAAGUGCAGGCAGAUCUGGUUCCUGGCGACAGGCCUCUUGGUGUGCAGACUUGUCAUGGGAGGGAAAGAAACUCGUGAUCUCAUCUAAACCUCAUUACCCACCAACUGCCCACUUAUAAAUACCGUCACGUUGGGAGGGGGCAAGGCUUCAACCCACUAGUUAUGGCGGGGCACAAACGAAGUCCAUAAUGUAUGAGCUACGUGACUGAUCAGUGUGGAUUUUCCUCUCACUCAGUCAGCUCUCCUUUAGUCUGAGAAAUGUCUGGCCAACUUGAGACAAAAAGCUCGUGUGUGAGUCAGAAUUGUACGAGUGUGUACAGGCAUUUCAUUUUUCUUAUCCCUCUUUGCACUGUGUGUGAAUUGUGGAACUGAGCUGGAUGGAGUUGACCAAGAGGGUGAGAAGCAAGUUUCUUAAAGUAGAGUCGUUGACCACGGUUCUGUCACUGUAGGAGAGCCACGAAGGCGGUAAAUUGUGCUUCCUGAGAGCAGAUGCCUCUACCUUUAAUCAACGAAAAUAGAAGCGCUCACGGUUAGUCAGAGUACUUGCUCCUGAUACAAAGGGCAGCACAAAAAGGGAAUGGACUUAGUUACAAUGAGAUGCUGCCUUUUCGUUUAGGACAGCAGGAGAAAGGAACUCACUUCGCUCUCAAGGGUCACCGUAUCUGUAGUAAUGGGUGGCUCCUGAUGAGAGCGUUCUCUUUUGUUGGGGAAAAAGGAAGCUUCAGAACUUUAUGCUGAACCCCUCUCCUACUUUUCUGGGAAAAGGGUGAUUUAAAACAGAAAUGGUCAGGGUUUCUUGGGUUCCUCACUGCUCCCUCCUUGCUAGGAGAGAGCCAUAGAGGGGGUAAAGAGUAGAGACGGUAGGUGGGAGCCUGGACUCGGAGGUGCAGGAGGUUUGAGCCAGCGGAGGCGAGGGCCAAGGGGAUGAAAUGCUUGCUGUUGCCGCUUGGAGCUCUUCAAAGCUGGAGCAGGACAGCUGGCUGUUUCUGUGUCUGGGGGCAAUGCUAAAUAAAUACAUUGGAGUCUCUGUAAACUCAGACUGGAGAAAAACAGACUUCCCAAGUUCAGUUUGUGCCUUUUAUAGUUUCUUGUUUAGCAAAUUUGCCUUACAUCUGCUCAGUACUAUAAACUGCCCUUAACUUAAAGACAAAUCAUUUUGAGUUAUGAGUCUAGACGUGUGAAAAUACAGAGCAUGGGGUGCCUGAAACAAGUUCAACGUCCAAACGCAAAGCUCCCUGGAUGCCUCCGUGACCCCUGUGGCCCGCGCUGGCUGUCUCAACCCCUGGUCUCUCCGUGCUGUUCGUGCUGCAGCCUUCACCUCCCUGUGAAUUUAUUGAGGGCAGGACUGGCUUCUGAUCUUGGUAUCCACAGACUAGAGAUCCUCAUACCUAUUCAAUGAAUAAACCACAGUCUGUUCCCAGAUGUCUUUAUCACUCUUACUCUCCCUGUUGCAGGGACUAUUUGAUUUUCUUAGGAAUAUGUCUUAAAAAUCAUGGGGGAAUAAUGUACAGUGUAUGAUUCCGUUCACGCAGAUCUGUGAGGGGAAAACAGCGGUUGCCUCUGGGAGGGCUGGGGAAGGGACCCGCUGGGAAGGGGCGUGAUGAGGGAAUGGUCCAGGGUGGUGGUGGUAAUCGACAUCUGAUACGGGUCUGAGUUACACAUGCGUGUACAUUUGUGUAAACUUAGAGGACAUGCUGUUUAUAUUUCUGGGCUUUGAUCAUAGGGAAACUUCAAUAAAAAACACUGAACUUUAGUUAAUGAUGUGUAUUGCUGAGGGCUUUUGGAAGGGUAGGUACAGCUAUCUGCAAUUUAUUCAAAAUACACAAAUUAAGAUGGAUUAAUGGAAUAUUAGAUAAGUGAUAAAGCAAGUGUAAUAAAGUGUUCAUGGUGUAAUCUUGGUAAACAAAUGUUGGCUGUAAAAUUCAACUUUAUUGUAUGUUUGCACAUUUCAUAAUAAAACGAGAAAAAUCAUUA